AAAAUCCAAUAAUUAUAUACAAUACGAACAAUGUUCAUCACUAACAAAAUAUAAACGACACCCUAAUCCAACCAAAACAAUGAAUAAAUCCACUGGUUUCUAGUCAAUUCUAUACUAGAAAGACCUAGAAGGAUCUAGAAGGUCUAGCCGUACUUCAAUCCUUAAAUGGUCACUAAUUUUUCUUGAAUUCUAUUCAUUUGGCUAAUUUCCAGGUGAAAAAACAUGGAGUAUCCUUUCCUAAAUCUACAAUUUAUGCUGCUUGUGCUUUGGAUCAUCAACACUGUGCCAUGGAAUUUUGAAAAUUCUUCUAUCAUCAGCUCUCAAAAGUGCUGUAUACCCACGCGAUGUAAGAACUGGCCACACUACUCCUCCUGCUCAUUAAUGUUGGAUUCAGGGAAAACUUUGUGUUGGAUUAAAGUGG
Long non-coding RNA from Capsicum annuum, 421 nucleotides. RefSeq lists it as uncharacterized. NCBI's taxonomy places the organism in Eukaryota, Viridiplantae, Streptophyta, Magnoliopsida, Solanales, Solanaceae. The record is from RefSeq and is a predicted model, not a curated record. The transcript has 3 exons.